Molecule: unclassified non-coding RNA, 345 nt
Filed under: soil metagenome
Description: partial contains 5.8S ribosomal RNA, internal transcribed spacer 2, and large subunit ribosomal RNA
Rfam family: 5.8S ribosomal RNA (bases 1-121)
Source: RNAcentral
GAUGAAGGACGUAGCGAAAUGCGAUAAGUAAUGCGAAUUGCAGAAUUUCCGUGAGUCAUCGAAUCUUUGAACGCACAUUGCGCCCACUGGUAUUCCGGUGGGCAUGCCUGUUCGAGCGUCAUUAUCCUCCCUCAAACCCCGGGUUUGGUGUUGGACCCAAGUUGUGUGAACAACUGGUCUCAAAGACAAUGACGGCGUCCGUGGGACCCUCGGUGCAACGAGCUUUUAGGAGCACGCAUCGAGUUGCAAGGACCUUCCGGGCCGGUCUCCUUUACCAUUUUACAAGGUUGACCUCGGAUCAGGUAGGAAUACCCGCUGAACUUAAGCAUAACAAUAAGCGGAGGA